This 944-nucleotide long non-coding RNA is filed under the name Brassica napus (rape). RNAcentral describes it as "long non-coding RNA (BNAP_LNC010096)". The record is from RNAcentral. Lineage: Eukaryota; Viridiplantae; Streptophyta; Magnoliopsida; Brassicales; Brassicaceae.
AAAGUUUAUACAUUGUUACUCCGCUGUGCAAUCUUUUCCUUUGUUUAUGAACCUCAUAUUCGAAUAUGACUUAGCAAAUAAAAGACUUAUAAUGGAUCAAACAAGCAAAGAAAUUAAUAUGUAAGCAUUCGUAUCCAGUUGGGUCAAGAGACCAGGAACGGGUCUUACACAAGCAUUGUGGAAUCAAUCCGUUCUAUUCUCGGUUAUGAUUAAUGCUUAUCUGGUUGUGGUUUCAGGAACUAAGGAUGGUUCUGGUCAAGCGAAGGAGCCGUGAAGGCUCGGUCAGUGAGAGGCUGUGUAACGUGUGGUUAGAUGAUGCUAGGGAUGAACUAGUGAUUGUCUAUGAGACUGUUAAGAAGUUGUGUAUUGAAUCUCAUGUUUCUAAGUAAUACAAAGUUUAUACAUUGUUAUUCCGCUGUGCAAUCUGUUCCUUUGUUUAUGAACCUCAUAUUCGAAUAUGACUUAGUAAAUAAAAGACUUAAAAUGGAUCAAACAAGCAAAGAAAUUAAUAAGUAAGCCUGCAGACUCCAUAAGGUCGAGAGGCCAGGGUUCGGGUCUUACAAGUUGGUAUCAGAGCAUGCUUGAUUCUAGGAUAGUUGGGUUAUGCAGUCCACACACACACACGCAGCCAGCUGAUUAGGUGUCACGGUGAGGUUUGAUUGCUUAGUCUAGGGAUUGUUUGUUCUGUUUAUGUUAGUGUGUUUCGUACUAACAUUGUCUGAAUCCUUAGGCUGGAAAAAGCAAGUCGGGAAAGUCCCGAAGGAGUAAGAAAACAGCCGGUCAGUCUAGUCAAGUGGCCAUGGACGGGACCAAUCUAUCCGGCCGCGGCUGACACUAGAGACGUGUUGCCAACUGAUCAGGCUAACCUUACGGGGACGCAACAGGAUGGUCAGGAACAUCGGGAGAGUGAUGAGGAAGUGGAAUCCUCGAAUGCUAACCGUGAU